GGUGGUAUAGUGUAGUGGUUAUCACUCAGGAUUCUGAUUCCUGAAACCCAGGUUCGAUCCCUGGUACUACCU
This 72-nucleotide transfer RNA is filed under the name Fistulina hepatica ATCC 64428. RNAcentral describes it as "tRNA-Gln (CTG) (tRNA-Gln-CTG-1-1)". It matches the Rfam family "tRNA". Rfam says of the family: Transfer RNA (tRNA) molecules are approximately 80 nucleotides in length. Their secondary structure includes four short double-helical elements and three loops (D, anti-codon, and T loops). The record is from RNAcentral. Lineage: Eukaryota; Fungi; Basidiomycota; Agaricomycetes; Agaricales; Fistulinaceae.